RNAcentral lists this ribosomal RNA (1367 nucleotides) under Escherichia coli. RNAcentral describes it as "partial 23S ribosomal RNA". It matches the Rfam family "Bacterial large subunit ribosomal RNA", at positions 1573 to 2916 of the family's 2925-position model. The record is from RNAcentral. Lineage: Bacteria; Pseudomonadati; Pseudomonadota; Gammaproteobacteria; Enterobacterales; Enterobacteriaceae.
GGCACUACGGUGCUGAAGCAACAAAUGCCCUGCUUCCAGGAAAAGCCUCUAAGCAUCAGGUAACAUCAAAUCGUACCCCAAACCGACACAGGUGGUCAGGUAGAGAAUACCAAGGCGCUUGAGAGAACUCGGGUGAAGGAACUAGGCAAAAUGGUGCCGUAACUUCGGGAGAAGGCACGCUGAUAUGUAGGUGAAGUCCCUCGCGGAUGGAGCUGAAAUCAGUCGAAGAUACCAGCUGGCUGCAACUGUUUAUUAAAAACACAGCACUGUGCAAACACGAAAGUGGACGUAUACGGUGUGACGCCUGCCCGGUGCCGGAAGGUUAAUUGAUGGGGUCAGCGCAAGCGAAGCUCUUGAUCGAAGCCCCGGUAAACGGCGGCCGUAACUAUAACGGUCCUAAGGUAGCGAAAUUCCUUGUCGGGUAAGUUCCGACCUGCACGAAUGGCGUAAUGAUGGCCAGGCUGUCUCCACCCGAGACUCAGUGAAAUUGAACUCGCUGUGAAGAUGCAGUGUACCCGCGGCAAGACGGAAAGACCCCGUGAACCUUUACUAUAGCUUGACACUGAACAUUGAGCCUUGAUGUGUAGGAUAGGUGGGAGGCUUUGAAGUGUGGACGCCAGUCUGCAUGGAGCCGACCUUGAAAUACCACCCUUUAAUGUUUGAUGUUCUAACGUUGACCCGUGAUCCGGGUUGCGGACAGUGUCUGGUGGGUAGUUUGACUGGGGCGGUCUCCUCCUAAAGAGUAACGGAGGAGCACGAAGGUUGGCUAAUCCUGGUCGGACAUCAGGAGGUUAGUGCAAUGGCAUAAGCCAGCUUGACUGCGAGCGUGACGGCGCGAGCAGGUGCGAAAGCAGGUCAUAGUGAUCCGGUGGUUCUGAAUGGAAGGGCCAUCGCUCAACGGAUAAAAGGUACUCCGGGGAUAACAGGCUGAUACCGCCCAAGAGUUCAUAUCGACGGCGGUGUUUGGCACCUCGAUGUCGGCUCAUCACAUCCUGGGGCUGAAGUAGGUCCCAAGGGUAUGGCUGUUCGCCAUUUAAAGUGGUACGCGAGCUGGGUUUAGAACGUCGUGAGACAGUUCGGUCCCUAUCUGCCGUGGGCGCUGGAGAACUGAGGGGGGCUGCUCCUAGUACGAGAGGACCGGAGUGGACGCAUCACUGGUGUUCGGGUUGUCAUGCCAAUGGCACUGCCCGGUAGCUAAAUGCGGAAGAGAUAAGUGCUGAAAGCAUCUAAGCACGAAACUUGCCCCGAGAUGAGUUCUCCCUGACUCCUUGAGAGUCCUGAAGGAACGUUGAAGACGACGACGUUGAUAGGCCGGGUGUGUAAGCGCAGCGAUGCGUUGAGCUAACCGGUACUAAUGAACCGUGAGG